RNAcentral lists this unclassified non-coding RNA (959 nucleotides) under Hevea brasiliensis (rubber tree). The record is from RNAcentral. Lineage: Eukaryota; Viridiplantae; Streptophyta; Magnoliopsida; Malpighiales; Euphorbiaceae.
AUUAAAAAAAAAAAAAUUAUUGAAGAGAAAGAAAAAGAUUUGACAGAGGAAGGCACGAGUGCAAGACUGAAUGAAUAUUUUGUGCGGAAAAGGUGGAUAUAAUAAUAUAAAGCCCAGAUUCCCUUCCACGGCUGACAGUCUGUAUGUCUCAUUCAUAGCGUGGCUCUGUUUCUGCUUCAUAGGCCUCACUCUUGCUGUUGCCUCUUCUCUGCCCAUUGCCAAUUCACCAAAUCCAUCUUCAUGGCUUCCCUCAUCGAAUCUGGCUGGCUGGUAUCUCCUCUCUUUCUCCUUUCUUCUACCUUUUCUCAAACAAUUUUGCUCUUCUUCGAUUUUAUGCAUUUCUUUCUCAUUGCUCCGCACUCUUGGAUCUCUCUCUCUGCUUAUACGUAUGUUGAUGCUAAUUUCUGUGUUAAUUUCUCAUGUUUCGACCAUUCAAGCUUCUUUCUGGAUGGUUUUGAGGGAAAUGGGCGGCAGAUCUUUUUUUCGCUGUGUAUAGUAAAUAUCGAGGAGCUUUAUUAUUAUUUUUUUCCUUUCUUGUUUUAGCGGAUAAAUUUAGGUUCAACUCGUUUCUUGUUCGUGAUGUUUUGGAGCACUAUCAUUGCUUGUUCAUUAUGACAUCUUUGAAGGAUAGCUGGAAUUGAUUUUCCUUUUCUUCUCAAUUUUUCUAAUGAUUACGUUAUUCCUCAUGAUUAAUUAGGAAUCUGAUACAGUUAUUCCACAUGCGCUUCGUUUUCUUUUUCCUUUUUAUUAAAAUUUGAAAAUAUAUAAAUAUAUAUUUUUUGCCUCCCGUUGUGUGAUUUGUUCUUUGGAACUGUUUACUGAUGUUUGGUGUGCUGUAAUGUAAUAGAAUGGACUGAAUUACAUAAUAAGAUGGGCAGCGGAAUGGAGUAAAGUAUAAUGCAAUGGAUAAUCCUGUUCCUUAUUUUAGUUGCAAUUUUAGUAUUUUACUGAUGGAAGCG